AAAAGGAAGCCAAGCCAUCACUUGAAAGCAAAAUUGGAAAACAAAGAUUGCAAACCAAAAGUGGCCACGUGAAAGGAAAGAGAAUAAAGCCUUUUGGCUUUAGGAAAUCAUUAUUGGCUUAUUAAUUGAAGCAUGAGGUGGCGGUUUUGAGCUUGGAAUUUAAUUCUCUCCAGGCAAGGAUUUAAACAAAGCCACAAUUGAAGCAUUAUAAAUA
Molecule: long non-coding RNA, 214 nt
Filed under: Citrus sinensis (sweet orange)
Lineage: Eukaryota; Viridiplantae; Streptophyta; Magnoliopsida; Sapindales; Rutaceae
Description: long non-coding RNA (CSIN_LNC000128)
Source: RNAcentral